RNAcentral lists this ribosomal RNA (1463 nucleotides) under uncultured Bordetella sp. Its description in RNAcentral is "partial 16S-23S ribosomal RNA intergenic spacer". It matches the Rfam family "Bacterial small subunit ribosomal RNA". The record is from RNAcentral. Lineage: Bacteria; Pseudomonadati; Pseudomonadota; Betaproteobacteria; Burkholderiales; Alcaligenaceae.
GGUUUGAUUCUGGCUCAGAUUGAACGCUGGCGGGAUGCUUUACACAUGCAAGUCGAACGGCAGCACGGACUGGUCCGGUGGCGAGUGGCGAACGGGUGAGUAAUGUAUCGGAACGUGCCUAGUAGGGGAUAACUACGCGAAAGCGUAGCUAAUACCGCAUACGCCUUCGGGGGAAAGCGGGGACCUUUCGGGCCUCGCACUAUUAGAGCGCACAUAUCGGAUUAGCUAGUUGGUGGGGUAACGGCUCACCAAGGCGACGAUCCGUAGCCAUUUGAGAGGACGACCAGCCACACUGGGACCGAGACACGGCCCAGACUCCUACGGGAGGCAGCAGUGGGGAAUUUUGGACAAUGGGGGAAACCCCUGAUCCAGCCAUCCUCUGCGUGUGCGAUGAAGGCCUUCGGGUUGUAAAGCACUUUUGGCAGGGAAAGAAACGGCACGGGAUAAUACCUCGUGCAACUGACGGUACCUGCAGAAUAAGCACCGGCUAACCACGCGCCAGCAGCCGCGGUAAUACGAAGCAACAUACAUCGGAAUGCACUGGCAAGCAAGCCGUGCGCAGCGGUUUUUUCCGGAAAGAAGAUGAAACCCAGAUGACUUUGAACUGCGUUUAACUACCGAGCUAGAGUAAGGCUGGAGGGAGAAGAAUCAGCAGCAGUGAAAUGCGGAUACGUGAGAACCGCUGGCGAAGGCGCCUUCCUGGGAUAACACCACUGACGUUCCUAUGCACGAAAGCGUGGGGAGCAAACAGGAUUAGAUACCCUGGUAGUCCACGCCCUAAACGAUGUCAACUAGCUGUUGGGGCCUUCGGGCCUGGUAGCGCAGCUAACGUGAAGUUGACCGCCUGGGGAGUACGGUCGCAAGAUUAAAACUCAAAGGAAUUCGACGGGGACUCGCACAAGCAGACGAUGUGGAUUAAUUCGAUGCAACGCGAAAAACCUUACCUACCCUGACAUGUCUGGAAUCCCGGAAGAGAUUUGGGAGUGCUCGCAAGAGAACCGGAACACAGGUGCUGCAUGGCUGUCGUCAGCUCGUGUCGUGAGAUGUUGGGUUAAGUCCCGCAACGAGCGCAACCCUUGUCAUUAGUUGCUACGAAAGGGCACUCUAAUGAGACUGCCGGUGACAAACCGGAGGAAGGUGGGGGCGACGUCAAGUCCUCAUGGCCCUUAUGGGUAGGGCUUCACACGUCAUACAAUGGUCGGGACAGUGGUCGCCAACCCGCGAGGGGGGAGCUAAUCCCAGAAACCCGAUCGUAGUCCGGAUCGCAGUCUGCAACUCGACUGCGUGAAGUCGGAAUCGCUAGUAAUCGCGAUCAGCAUGUCGCGGUGAAUACGUUCCUUGGUCUUGUACACACCGCCCGUCACACCAUGGGAGUGGGUUUUACCAGAAGUAGUUAGCCUAACCGUAAGGAGGGCGAUUACCACGGUAGGAUUCAUGACUGGGGUGAAGUCGUAACAAGGUAG